Molecule: ribosomal RNA, 719 nt
Filed under: uncultured Agaricales
Lineage: Eukaryota; Fungi; Basidiomycota; Agaricomycetes; Agaricales
Description: eukaryotic LSU rRNA
Rfam family: 5.8S ribosomal RNA (bases 316-469)
Source: RNAcentral
UUUCCGUAGGUGAACCUGCGGGAAGGAUCAUUAUUGAAUUCAUCUACUGGGGUUGUUGCUGGUUCCUUUUGGUUCAAGUGCACGCCUGGUUCUUGAUCUCUUUCCACCUGUGCACUUUUGUAGGCUAGUCUGCGUCUUGGUUGAUUGUCUGUUGCUCAAUAUCUUGCUUUUGUGAGACGUUGGAUUGGAGGAGUGAACUUCUUAGUUCUUCCUCUAGGACUUUCAGCUUAGCAUGAUUAGCUCUACGUUUUUUUACAAACCCAUUUGCAUGUCUAGAAAGUCCAUUACUGGUCGGAAGACCUUUAAUCUUUACACAACUAUUGACAACGGAUCUCUUGGCUCACGCAUCGAUGAAGAACGCAGCGAAAUGCGAUAAGUAAUGUGAAUUGCAGAUUUCAGUGAAUCAUCGAAUCUUUGAACGCACCUUGCACCUUCUGGUAUUCCGGAAGGUACAUCUGUUUGAGUGUCAUUAAUCUCUCAACUCUACCAUUCUUUUUGAGUGUGUAUGGGUUGGAUGUGAAGGUUGCAGGCUGCGAAGCCAGCUCCUUUGAAAUGCAUUAGCUGGGAACUAGUACAUCGUUUCAAGUGCUUUGAUGCUUGAAGACCUCCUGGUGAGAUAAUGGUCUACGCCGUUGGUUUAGUCAUUGCACAUAUUUGGACUUUGGAUUGUGCCUGCUUCUAACUGUCUCAUUGCGAGACUAGUCCGCUACAGGGCUACU